RNAcentral lists this ribosomal RNA (253 nucleotides) under uncultured bacterium. RNAcentral's name for it is "partial 16S ribosomal RNA". It matches the Rfam family "Archaeal small subunit ribosomal RNA", at positions 474 to 727 of the family's 1478-position model. The record is from RNAcentral.
UACCAGCACCCCGAGUGGUCGGGACGAUUAUUGGGCCUAAAGCAUUCGUAGCCGGUUUUACAAGUCCCCCGUUAAAUCCAGCUGCUUAACAGAUGGGCUGCGGAGGAUACUAUAAGACUAGGAGGCAGGAGAGGCAAGCGGUACUCAGUGGGUAGGGGUAAAAUCCGUUGAUCCAUUGAAGACCACCAGUGGCGAAGGCGGCUUGCCAGAAUGCGCUCGACGGUGAGGGAUGAAAGCUGGGGGAGCAAACCGG